Molecule: long non-coding RNA, 682 nt
Organism: Myotis davidii
Lineage: Eukaryota; Metazoa; Chordata; Mammalia; Chiroptera; Vespertilionidae
Exons: 2
Source: RefSeq, a predicted model, not a curated record
CGUGGGGAGCCGGGCCGGCAGGGCUGGACGGGCCUUUCUCCUGCGGCGCGAGGACGUUCUGCCUCCAGGUCCAUGUCGGAACGUCCACUUGUCCGGGGACGUCCACCCCGUGCCCGGGCUCCCGCCCUCUCCCCGCCGAUCCGCGCCGAAAGCCCUGCGCCGAGCGGCGAUUCGGCUUGUGCAGCGGCUUUGUCGCUCCCCGUCCGCUUCUGCAAUCUCGACGCGUCCCCGCACCCCAGUUCGGGUGCUCAGUGGAUGUGCUGCAUGAACUGUGAGGGGAGUAACGGAGAAGGCGAGCCGGAUUCAUUUGUCCCUAUAUCCCCUACACGUCCCUGCUUUUGACCUCCCUCCCAGCACGUGCCUUGUUUUCUACAGUGGAUGCUUUCUUGAAAAAUUAUAUAAAUUGGGACAUGUAUGGAACAUGCUUGUGUAAUUAGUAUUUACAGGGAUAUAAAUGCUUUUGUAAAUAGGAAUGAUCUCCCCCCCGAACUGAGUGUUUGGAUGAUGAAGUUGUCUUAAAGGGGCACACGUUCAUUCUGUUCCCUCACAGUCCUGCUUUUCUGUCGAGGUCUUGUGGCCUUGUGCUUCUAUCACAGACUUUGGAGCUACAGCUAAUAUUAUCGGAGAGGUGAUCAGCAUUAACCACAUGUGGCUGUUUAAAAUAAAGUUAAAUAAAAUUAAA